AGUGAACGCUGGCGGUAGGCCUAACACAUGCAAGUCGAACGGCAGCACAGUAAGAGCUUGCUCUUACGGGUGGCGAGUGGCGGACGGGUGAGGAAUACAUCGGAAUCUACUUUUUCGUGGGGGAUAACGUAGGGAAACUUACGCUAAUACCGCAUACGACCUACGGGUGAAAGCAGGGGAUCUUCGGACCUGGGGGGAUGGAAGGAGCCGAUGUCGGAUUAGCUAGUUGGCGGGGUAAAGGCCCACCAAGGCGACGAUCCGUAGCUGGUCUGAGAGGAUGAUCAGCCACACUGGAACUGAGACACGGUCCAGACUCCUACGGGAGGCAGCAGUGGGGAAUAUUGGACAAUGGGCGCAAGCCUGAUCCAGCCAUACCGCGUGGGUGAAGAAGGCCUUCGGGUUGUAAAGCCCUUUUGUUGGGAAAGAAAAGCAGCAGGUUAAUACCCCGCUGUUCUGACGGUACCCAAAGAAUAAGCACCGGCUAACUUCGUG
This 492-nucleotide ribosomal RNA is filed under the name uncultured bacterium. Its description in RNAcentral is "partial 16S ribosomal RNA". It matches the Rfam family "Bacterial small subunit ribosomal RNA", at positions 29 to 507 of the family's 1533-position model. The record is from RNAcentral.